CGGACGGGUGAGUAACGCGUGGACAACCUACCCGCACUGGGGGACAACAGCCGGAAACGGCUGCUAAUACCGCAUAUGCGCACAGCCCCACAUGGGGCGGUGCGGAAAGCCUUGUGCGGUGCGGGAUGGGUCCGCGUCUGAUUAGCUGGUUGGCGGGGUAACGGCCCACCAAGGCGACGAUCAGUAGCCGGCCUGAGAGGGUGGACGGCCACAUUGGGACUGAGACACGGCCCAGACUCCUACGGAAGGCAGCAG
This 255-nucleotide ribosomal RNA is filed under the name uncultured bacterium. RNAcentral's name for it is "partial 16S ribosomal RNA". It matches the Rfam family "Bacterial small subunit ribosomal RNA", at positions 99 to 354 of the family's 1533-position model. The record is from RNAcentral.